GAUGAACGCUGGCGGCGUGCCUAAUACAUGCAAGUCGAGCGGCAGCACGGUCUUCGGACUGGUGGCGAGCGGCGGACGGCUGAGUAACGCGUAGGAACAUGCCCUAAAGUGAGGAAUAACUGCCUGAAAGGGUGGCUAAUGCCGCAUGUGCUCUUCGGGGUAAAGCUUUAUGCGCUUUAGGAGUGGCCUGCGUCCGAUUAGCUAGUUGGUGAGGUAAUGCUCACCAAGGCGACGAUCGGUAGCUGGUCUGAGAGGAUGAUCAGCCAGACUGGAACUGAGAACGGUCCAGACUCCUACGGGAGGCAGCAGUAGGGAAUUUUCCACAAUGGGCGAGAGCCUGAUGGAGCAACGCCGCGUGCAGGAUGAAUGCCUUCGGGUUGUAAACUGCUUUUAUGUGCGAAGAAUUUGACUGUAACACAUGAAUAAGGGUCGGCUAACUACGUGCCAGCCGCCGCGGUAA
Molecule: ribosomal RNA, 460 nt
Filed under: uncultured bacterium
Lineage: Bacteria
Description: partial 16S ribosomal RNA
Rfam family: Bacterial small subunit ribosomal RNA
Source: RNAcentral